RNAcentral lists this ribosomal RNA (406 nucleotides) under uncultured soil bacterium. RNAcentral describes it as "bacterial SSU rRNA". It matches the Rfam family "Bacterial small subunit ribosomal RNA", at positions 510 to 916 of the family's 1533-position model. The record is from RNAcentral.
AGCAGCCGCGGUAAUUCGUAGGGUGCGAGCGUUAAUCGGAAUUACUGGGCGUAAAGCGUGCGCAGGCGGUCUGUUAAGACAGAUGUGAAAUCCCCGGGCUUAACCUGGGAACUGCAUUUGUGACUGGCAGGCUAGAGUAUGGCAGAGGGGGGUAGAAUUCCACGUGUAGCAGUGAAAUGCGUAGAGAUGUGGAGGAAUACCGAUGGCGAAGGCAGCCCCCUGGGCCAAUACUGACGCUCAUGCACGAAAGCGUGGGGAGCAAACAGGAUUAGAUACCCUGGUAGUCCACGCCCUAAACGAUGUCAACUAGUUGUUGGGGAUUCAUUUCCUUAGUAACGUAGCUAACGCGUGAAGUUGACCGCCUGGGGAGUACGGUCGCAAGAUUAAAACUCAAAUGAAUUGACGG